GGAGCUGAUGCAGCACGCCGCGUGCGGGAUGACGGCCUUCGGGUUGUAAGCCGCUUUCGCCUGUGACGAAGCGUGCGUGACGGUAAUGGGUAAGGAAGCACCGGCUAACUACGUGCCCGCAGCCGCGGUAAUACGUAGGGUGCGAGCGUUGUCC
Molecule: ribosomal RNA, 154 nt
Filed under: uncultured Propionibacteriales bacterium
Lineage: Bacteria; Bacillati; Actinomycetota; Actinomycetes; Propionibacteriales
Description: partial 16S ribosomal RNA
Rfam family: Bacterial small subunit ribosomal RNA
Source: RNAcentral